This 436-nucleotide ribosomal RNA is filed under the name uncultured bacterium. RNAcentral describes it as "partial 16S ribosomal RNA". It matches the Rfam family "Bacterial small subunit ribosomal RNA", at positions 29 to 507 of the family's 1533-position model. The record is from RNAcentral.
AACGAACGCUGGCGGCAUGCCUAACACAUGCAAGUCGAACGAGAUCCUUCGGGGUCUAGUGGCGCACGGGUGCGUAACGCGUGGGAAUCUGCCCUUAGGUUCGGAAUCACAGUUAGAAAUGACUGCUAAUACCGGAUGAUGACGUUAAGUCCAAAGAUUUAUCGCCUGAGGAUGAGCCCGCGUAGGAUUAGCUAGUUGGUGUGGUAAAGGCGCACCAAGGCGACGAUCCUUAGCUGGUCUGAGAGGAUGAUCAGCCACACUGGGACUGAGACACGGCCCAGACUCCUACGGGAUGCAGCAGUGGGGAAUAUUGGACAAUGGGCGCAAGCCUGAUCCAGCAAUGCCGCGUGAGUGAUGAAGGCCUUAGGGUUGUAAAGCUCUUUUACCCGAGAUGAUAAUGACAGUACCGGGAGAAUAAGCCCCGGCUAACUCCGUG